UGAGAAGUAAAGGAAAAUGAAUUCAGCUUAAACUAAAAUGAACUACAUAUCUAUCUAUAUAUACAUUGGGCUUAUACCUGAAAAACACUACUGGCCUAACUCUUAUACAUAAAUAAAAGCUAUCUUAUAUUAUAUUUGGGCCUCUAUCUCGAGCUUUAAACUUGGGCUUCCUGCUAUUGUUAUAUACUUCAACAAAGGGGUGAGCCGAUCGUAUCAACCUAUACAAUAUACAUAACAGAUAUUUAAAUUAGUAUUCAAUAAUUCAAAUGAAAUAAUUAAAGCUCUGUACGUGACUAUCAUUUAAUUUACUUCAUCCUUCCCAUUUUAUAUGAUCUUCUUUGACUUGGACGGAGUUUUAAAAAAAUACUUUUGAAACUUUUAAUCUAAAAUAGGUUAUAGACAUUUGCGAGUUUCAAAGUUAAAUUAUUUCUAAAUUUUAAAAUAUAUCAUUAUUUGCGGAACAUACUAAAAAGAAAAAGGUAUCAUAUAUAUAUAUAUAUAUUGGUUUAGAGUGAGUGUAAUAUUAAUUAUCUGAGUAAUAACUAUAUUAGUAGUGAAGAUAAAUAUAAAAUAGGUUUUCUAAAGAUUCCCAGUAAAACACAAGAAAAUAAGUAUUAACGGGAUUGUUACACAAAUAGUGAUUCAAUAUUUAUUUUUUCUAGUCGGUAUACAUUGAUUAUACAUUAAUUAUAUAUAUUUUGUACAUAUAUUAUAUUAAAUAUCUUACAUCUAUUUUAGUUUAAGAGAUUGGGUGGAUGGCUAUAUAAUCGUGUUAAUCCUUCUUCUUUUUUAAACUAAAGUUGGAAACUUGCAAAUUAGGAAUGCCAAUAAUCCCAGAACUGCUAAUCAAUUUCCUUCUCGCAAUAUGCAUGAACUAGAUUGAAUGAAGAUAGGGAAAGUAACAAAUGGCACAAGAAAAUUUUCUAAUCAAGUUGUCAAUAUCCAUUGAAUAGAUAAAACAGAAAUCAAUAAAUUGGAACUAAGGAAAUCAAAAAUGUUUAACCGAUAGGAGAAAUUAAGGAUUACUAUUUAUGAUCACUUAUGCAUUAUAUGAACAAACACAAUCAUGCAUUCCAAUUCAAAAAUUCAUUUAAUGCAUUUCAUCUUCACCUAUAUAUUGCACACAUA
This 1128-nucleotide long non-coding RNA is filed under the name Nicotiana tabacum (common tobacco). Its description in RNAcentral is "long non-coding RNA (NTAB_LNC008797)". The record is from RNAcentral. Lineage: Eukaryota; Viridiplantae; Streptophyta; Magnoliopsida; Solanales; Solanaceae.